UCCGGUUGAUCCUGCCGGACCUGACUGCUAUCGGAUUGAUACUAAGCCAUGCGAGUCAUUGUAGCAAUACAAGGCAUACGGCUCAGUAACGCGUAGUCAACCUAACCUAUGGACGGGAAUAACCUCGGGAAACUGAGAAUAAUGCCCGAUAGAACAUUAUGCCUGGAAUGGUUUAUGUUCCAAAUGAUUUAUCGCCGUAGAUGGGACUGCGGCCUAUCAGUUUGUUGGUGAGGUAAUGGCCCACCAAGACUAUUACAGGUACGGGCUCUGAGAGGAGUAGCCCGGAGAUGGGUACUGAGACACGGACCCAGGCCCUAUGGGGCGCAGAGGCGAGAAAACUUUGCAAUGUGCGAAAGMGACAAGGUUAAUCCGAGUGGUUUCUGCUAAAGGAACCUUUUGUCAGUCCUAGAAACACUGAUGAAUAAGGGGUGGGCAAGUUCUGGUGUCAGCCGCCGCGGUAAAACCAGCACCUCAAGUGGUCAGGAUGAUUAUUGGGCCUAAAGCAUCCGUAGCCGGCUCUGUAAGUUUUCGGUUAAAUCUGUACGCUCAACGUACAGGCUGCCGGAAAUACUGCAAAGCUAGGGAGUGGGAGAGGUAGACGGUACUCGGUAGGAAGGGGUAAAAUCCUUUGAUCUAUUGAUGACCACCUGUGGCGAAGGCGGUCUACCAGAACACGUCCGACGGUGAGGGAUGAAAGCUGGGGGAGCAAACCGGAUUAGAUACCCGGGUAGUCCCAGCUGUGAACCAUGCAAACUCAGUGAUGCAUUGGCUUGUGGCCAAUGCAGUGCUGCAGGGAAGCCGAUAAGUUUGCCGCCUGGGAAGUACGUACGCAAGUAUGAAACUUAAAGGAAUUGGCCGGGGAGCACCACAAGGGGUGAAGCUGCGGUUCA
Molecule: ribosomal RNA, 890 nt
Filed under: uncultured archaeon
Lineage: Archaea
Description: bacterial SSU rRNA
Rfam family: Archaeal small subunit ribosomal RNA
Source: RNAcentral